Molecule: ribosomal RNA, 270 nt
Filed under: uncultured Chlamydiales bacterium
Lineage: Bacteria; Pseudomonadati; Chlamydiota; Chlamydiia; Chlamydiales
Description: partial 16S ribosomal RNA
Rfam family: Bacterial small subunit ribosomal RNA
Source: RNAcentral
GUGGAUGAGGCAUGCAAGUCGAACGAAAUUGUAGGGCAACUUAUAAUUUAGUGGCGGAAGGGCUAGUAAUACAUGGGUAACUUACCUCUAACCUGGGGAUAACGGCUGGAAACGGCCGCUAAUACCGAGUGAGGUGUGCCGAGGCAUCUCGGCUACAUCAUAGUGGGGGAUCGCAAGACCUUACGGUAAGAGAGAGGCCCAUGGGGUAUCAGCUAGUUGGUGAGGUAAAAGCUUACCAAGGCUAAGACGUCUAGGCGGAUUGAGAGAUUG